CCCUUAGAUGUUCUGGGCUGCACGCGUGCUACAAUGGCGCUUGCAACAAGUCUUGCCAACCCGAUAGGGUGAGCGGAUCUUUGAAGAGACGUCGUGAUCGGGACAGUUGAUUGCAAUUAUUCGACUCGAACGAGGAAUUCCUUGUAAUCGCGAUUCAUCAUAUCGCGCUGAAUACGUCCCUGCCCUUUGUACACACCGCCCGUCGCUCCUACCGAUUGAGCGAUCCGGUGAAUGUUUUGGACUGGCGUCAGAAGCGGUUCGCUCCUGACACUACGAAAUUUUGUAAACCUUAUCGCUUAGAGGAAGGAAAAGUCGUAACA
This 320-nucleotide ribosomal RNA is filed under the name uncultured eukaryote. RNAcentral describes it as "partial 18S ribosomal RNA". It matches the Rfam family "Eukaryotic small subunit ribosomal RNA", at positions 1470 to 1796 of the family's 1831-position model. The record is from RNAcentral.